CUACGGGGGGCUGCAGCAGGGAAUAUUGCACAAUGGACGGAAGUCUGAUGCAGCGACGCCGCGUGGAUGAUGAAGGCCCUCGGGUUGUAAAAUCCUUUUCAGGGGGACGAGGAAGGACGGUACCCUUGGAAUAAGCGUCGGCUAACUACGUGCCAGCAGCCGCGGUAAGACGUAGGACGCAAGCGUUAUCCGGAUUUACUGGGCGUAAAGCGUCUGUAGGCUGAAUGGUAAGUUGGACGUGAAAGCUCCGGGCUCAACCCGGAGAGGUCGUUCAAUACUGCCAAACUAGAGGGCAUCAGAGGAGCGUGGAAUUUCCGGUGUAGCGGUAAAAUGCGCAGAUAUCGGAAGGAACACCAGUGGCGAAGGCAGCGCUCUGGGAUGAACCUGACGCUAAGAGACGAAAGCUAGGGGAGCGAACAGGAUUAGAUACCCCUGUAGUC
RNAcentral lists this ribosomal RNA (440 nucleotides) under uncultured bacterium. RNAcentral describes it as "partial 16S ribosomal RNA". It matches the Rfam family "Bacterial small subunit ribosomal RNA", at positions 339 to 795 of the family's 1533-position model. The record is from RNAcentral.